This 403-nucleotide ribosomal RNA is filed under the name uncultured bacterium. Its description in RNAcentral is "partial 16S ribosomal RNA". It matches the Rfam family "Bacterial small subunit ribosomal RNA", at positions 338 to 755 of the family's 1533-position model. The record is from RNAcentral.
CCUACGGGGGGCAGCAGUGGGGAAUAUUGGGCAAUGGGCGAAAGCCUGACCCAGCAAUGCCGCGUGAAUGAAGAAGGUCUUAGGAUGGUAAAAUUCUGUCCGAGGGGAAGAAAAAAAUGACGGUACAAUAGGAGGAAGCCACGGCUAACUACGGGCCAGAAGCCGCGGUAAUACGUAGGGGGCGAGCGUUGUCCGGAAUUACUGGGCGUAAAGAGAGCGUAGGCGGCACUACAAGUCUCAUGUGAAAUACCCGGGCUUAACGGGGGGGUUGCAUGGGAAACGGUAGAGCUUGAGUACAGGAGAGGCAAGCGGAAUUCCUCGUGUAGCGGUGCAAUGCAUAGAUAUUAGGAGGAACACCAGUGGCGACGGCGGCUUGCUGGACUGCAACUGCCGCUGAGGCUCG